CGGGACGUGGCGCAGCCUGGUAAGCGUGCCUGCCUUGGGAGCAGGAGGUCGGCGGUUCAAAUCCGCCCGUCCCGACCA
Molecule: transfer RNA, 78 nt
Filed under: Deltaproteobacteria bacterium
Lineage: Bacteria; Pseudomonadati; Myxococcota; Myxococcia
Description: tRNA-Pro
Rfam family: tRNA
About the family: Transfer RNA (tRNA) molecules are approximately 80 nucleotides in length.
Source: RNAcentral